GGAUUAACUACAGAGUGCAGACAUUGUCAAAUUUUAUGGUUAACCCAUUACCCCUAUAUACUAGAUCCUCACAAUUGACAACUAAAACUGACCUGUGGCUGUACAACCAAUAAAAAUAGGAUGAAAAGCAAUGUAAUGGUUGUGGAACAGAAAAUGGAAAUGCUUCAAAGAAGUGUAAAAGUUGUUCGAAGGAAUUCAUUUCGAAACGUGUAAAUUCCAUGGAAAGAAUUAGGAAAAUGGGUGUGACAAAUCCUUCUCGCCAAAGGGAACUAAUGAUGUACAGAGCUUCUGUCUUAAAUGAACAUCAUGACCAACACAUUAUUGUUUUGUCGUUCUCAAGACAUGCAAAAGGCUAUACCACUCACUUACACGGCACUCCUGGACCAGCUGCCAAGUUUCUUACUGAGACUGAGUAUGGAAAAAUAACAGAAAAGCUUUUUGACAAUUUCAUGCGACG
Long non-coding RNA from Xenia sp. Carnegie-2017, 457 nucleotides. RefSeq lists it as uncharacterized. Lineage: Eukaryota; Metazoa; Cnidaria; Anthozoa; Malacalcyonacea; Xeniidae. The transcript has 3 exons. The record is from RefSeq and is a predicted model, not a curated record.